RNAcentral lists this long non-coding RNA (200 nucleotides) under Nicotiana benthamiana. RNAcentral describes it as "long non-coding RNA (NBEN_LNC015891)". Lineage: Eukaryota; Viridiplantae; Streptophyta; Magnoliopsida; Solanales; Solanaceae. The record is from RNAcentral.
CCUCCUCCUCCACCUCUGCUCGUUCCAGUUGUACUAUGGGCUUUCCUUCAACUAUCGUUGGGGCUAUGUAGUCAAGUGCCAUACCGUGAGUCGCAAAGUGAUUCUUCUGAAAUAGUGUUGACCAGGCCUUCUUAGGUUCCUCUGCUUUGUUUUGGGUAAUCUCUGGUUGUUCUUCAGUUGGUAUUUCUGGUUGCAUGGUC